CUGGCCUGGCCCAUUAACGAGGCCUACUCCUCUGUACUGUCUCUUCUCUCUUUCUUUCUCCCCUCUCCUCUUUCUUCUAUCUGUUAUCUUUUUAUUCUCUCUUGGUACAGCCCACAGUGAGAAUCGAUCGAUUCCCUGUAACCCACACUGAUGUCGACGAUUCUCAGGCCUCACGCUCAGACUGAUGUUGACGAUUCUCAGAUGAAUGGAAGUCUGGAUUAAGCGCAGAAAGUUCGGGCAUAGCUUAUGUCCAAUUUGGACCAAGCCUGCUAACAAAUUUUGUGUUUCUGCAAAUUUAGGAAGAUUGAGGAGUUUGAUGGAUCUUGAUUAAGCCCGCAGUUUAUUGACAAACAGGACAACACCAAACCGAAACUCGAUUUCUAUAAUGGGUGUACAGACAGAGCUUGGAGGACAUACUGGAUUCAGAAGGGAACCCAUUAAACAUGUGGCAGGACUGAAUUGCGUCACGUUCUGGAAUUGAUUUGAGUUUCAACUACUAUCAUUUUACCUUUGUUUCACAUGUCUUUUGAGCUCAAGAUGAGACUAAUUAAAGAUUGGAAAACAAAGCUCCUUGAAAAUGAAUGGCUGAUUGAGAUGCGAGUGAAUUGAUAAGCUUUGAUCUGAAAGACCUUGCUACUCCUGCUAAAAAGCUUGUGAACGCUGUCAUCUAUCUUGGCAGAUGAAUCUUGGACUUUAUUGUAGGUUGGAGAAAGAUUCAGGGUAUUUCUUCAAUAAGAGGUAUUUUGAGGAUUGCAUGAUGAAUGGUGAAUGAUGUGGGAGCACUACCUGGCUGGAUUUACUAAGGUUGAUGAAAACAGCGACUCUACGAAGUACCUAUGACCUGGCUCGUCUUCGUAGAGUCGCUGUUUUCAUCAACCUUAGUAAAUCCAGCCAGGUAGUGCUCACCUGCGAUUAGCCUCGAGGCCCUCGACAGACAUAACCACGCUAAACCUGUCCAGAUUCUUCAAAGGGAUUUGAAAACGCUCUUGACAUUCGGUGACGAGUUUUUUGAUGAAGUAUCAUCACUGUUUCUGCCGAUGGUCAUUUGCAGGUGUGUUGAGCUUAUUUAUUUUCUGAUUAGUUUGUCUUUUCAUGACCCUGCAUCACACAUGCUAUUGUAAAGCAAGCCAUGAUCAUGCAAGUGUUCGGGUUAAUUCGGUUGUGGUGUCUUAAUUGUUGCUACUGUACAAUUAGUCAUCCUUGAUUUGCUUUGUAUUGUGGCAUCCAAGUGGUAAGUUUUUUUUUUUCCUGAACAUGAAGACAUGGGCAGGCAAGGAAUGCAGGGACCAUAUAUUUCUUACUUUGACAGGAUUUGCACAUGUAUAUCAUUAAUUGUUUCUUUGGACUUAUAACAAUGACUCUUGGAACCAGUUUCUUCUUAAUUUGUAUAAAAAUGAGGGCCAUUCUGCACUGUUUACCCUUGCUGCUUUCAAAAUGAGGUCCUAGGAGGGAAAAAUGUCUUUUUUAGUAUUAACACAAACUCGAGAUCAAUUCCUGUAAUAUUAUGACAUGUAAUUAGUUAGGAGGCAUAAAAUAGUUUCAGAUUGAGCUCUGAGUGUGUGCGUCCUGUUCGUGUCUUGAUUUUGUCGUUCAUAACCCGUAAU
Long non-coding RNA from Prunus avium (sweet cherry), 1604 nucleotides. RefSeq lists it as uncharacterized. NCBI's taxonomy places the organism in Eukaryota, Viridiplantae, Streptophyta, Magnoliopsida, Rosales, Rosaceae. The record is from RefSeq and is a predicted model, not a curated record.